This 481-nucleotide ribosomal RNA is filed under the name uncultured bacterium. RNAcentral describes it as "bacterial SSU rRNA". It matches the Rfam family "Bacterial small subunit ribosomal RNA", at positions 30 to 506 of the family's 1533-position model. The record is from RNAcentral.
AUUGAACGCUGGCGGCAUGCCUUACACAUGCAAGUCGAACGGUAACAGGGAGCUUGCUCCGCUGACGAGUGGCGAACGGGUGAGUAAUGUAUCGGAACGUACCAUUCAGUGGGGGAUAACGUAGCGAAAGUUACGCUAAUACCGCAUAUUCUGUGAGCAGGAAAGCAGGGGAUCGCAAGACCUUGCGCUGAUUGAGCGGCCGAUAUCAGAUUAGCUAGUUGGUGAGGUAAAGGCUCACCAAGGCGACGAUCUGUAGCGGGUCUGAGAGGAUGAUCCGCCACACUGGAACUGAGACACGGUCCAGACUCCUACGGGAGGCAGCAGUGGGGAAUUUUGGACAAUGGGGGCAACCCUGAUCCAGCCAUGCCGCGUGAGUGAAGAAGGUCUUCGGGUUGUAAGCUCUUUCGGCCGGGAAAAAUCGCAUCAGUUAAUACCUGGUGUGGAUGAUGGUACCGGAAUAAGAAGCACCGGCUAACUACGU